UGGGGAAUAUUGGACAAUGGGCGAAAGCCUGAUCCAGCAAUGCCGCGUGUGUGAAGAAGGCCCUCGGGUUGUAAAGCACUUUUAUCAGGAACGAAAUACCGCGGGUUAAUAACCUACGGGGCUGACGGUACCUGAGGAAUAAGCACCGGCUAACUUCGUGCCAGCAGCCGCGGUAAUACGAAGGGUGCAAGCGUUAAUCGGAAUUACUGGGCGUAAAGGGUGCGUAGGCGGUUAUUUAAGUCUGCCGUGAAAUCCCCGGGCUCAACCUGGGAAUGGCGGUGGAUACUGGAUAGCUAGAGUGUGUCAGAGGAUGGUGGAAUUCCCGGUGUAGCGGUGAAAUGCGUAGAGAUCGGGAGGAACAUCAGUGGCGAAGGCGGCCAUCUGGGACAACACUGACGCUGAAGCACGAAAGCGUGGGGAGCAAACA
RNAcentral lists this ribosomal RNA (427 nucleotides) under uncultured Rhodanobacter sp. Its description in RNAcentral is "bacterial SSU rRNA". It matches the Rfam family "Bacterial small subunit ribosomal RNA", at positions 355 to 774 of the family's 1533-position model. Lineage: Bacteria; Pseudomonadati; Pseudomonadota; Gammaproteobacteria; Lysobacterales; Rhodanobacteraceae. The record is from RNAcentral.